RNAcentral lists this ribosomal RNA (363 nucleotides) under uncultured bacterium. Its description in RNAcentral is "partial 16S ribosomal RNA". It matches the Rfam family "Bacterial small subunit ribosomal RNA", at positions 338 to 698 of the family's 1533-position model. The record is from RNAcentral.
CCUACGGGAGGCUGCAGUGAGGAAUAUUGGUCAAUGGACGAGAGUCUGAACCAGCCAAGUAGCGUGAAGGAUGACUGCCCUAUGGGUUGUAAACUUCUUUUAUAUGGGAAUAAAUUGGUCCACGUGUGGGAGUUUGUAUGUACCAUAUGAAUAAGGAUCGGCUAAUUCCGUGCCAGCAGCCGCGGUAAUACGGAGGUUCCGGGGGUUAUCCGGGUUUAUUGGGUUUAAAGGGAGCGUAGGUGGAUUGUUAAGUCAGUGGUGAAAGUUUGCGGCUCAACCGUAGAAUUGCAGUUGAAACUGGGAGUCUUGAGGACAGUAGAGGUGGGCGGAAUUCGAGGUGUGGCGGUGAAAUGCUUAGAUAUA